Molecule: ribosomal RNA, 287 nt
Filed under: uncultured bacterium
Lineage: Bacteria
Description: partial 16S ribosomal RNA
Rfam family: Bacterial small subunit ribosomal RNA
Source: RNAcentral
GUGGAUUAGAUACCCUGGUAGUCCACGCCGUAAACGAUGGAUACUUGGUGUUGGAGGUAUUGACCCCUUCAGUGCCGAAGCUAACGCGUUAAGUAUCCCGCCUGGGAAGUACGGUCGCAAGAUUAAAACUCAAAGAAAUUGACGGGGGCCCGCACAAGCGGUGGAGCAUGUGGUUCAAUUCGAUGCAACGCGAAGAACCUUACCUGGGUUUGACAUGUACUGGAAGACUACCAGAGAUGGUGUCGCCUUCGGGCCGGUACACAGGUGCUGCACGGUCGUCGUCAGCU